CUUGGGGAGCGGUUCCGUAUGAGGUGCACGGUCACCCCGCAGUGACAUGGAGCUCGGUGGUCCUGCGGGCCAGAGGGGGUAAAAACCUCUCCAUUGUGGCACAAGGUGGUUAUGGUCCAUGGAGUUUGGAGCUUCCUACGUAGAGAAAGCGCUCAAGGAGCAAGUCACAUUUUCCAGAGGGUUGUGUAUCUGGAGAUGAGUAACUGCUGUAGCCUGAGUCACGGUGAAGAAGGGAGCGAUGAGGAAUGACAGGGAGGGAUUGCCGAGAUGAUGGUGGCAGAGCAGAAACAGCAGCAGCCCUACAGCAAACAUUUUGUCUUGCUUUCUACAGGUGGGAUCCAGCACCACUGUCAAAUGAGACAUGGAUUCCUUAUCUUCAUCUUGUAAUUACCCUUGUGAAAACACCCAGGGUUUAUGGUGGAUGGUAAACUUGUCAGCAGCUCAGCUGGGCUGAGGUUUGGUAUGUCUGAAGUAACUGAGUUGUGUUUGUGAUUAGGCUUUGAGAUAGACUUAGUGGAUAAACUUCCUCUAUCAGCUUCUUAACUAAGUAUUUGAGGAAUGUGUUUGAACUUGAUUACGGAGAAUUCCAGUCCAGUUGAUUCCAGUGGACCUUGGCUCUUCACCAUUGAUCCAGGCAGGAAAACACACUGUAAACCAGAGCUAAGCCUUCAGGCAAGGCUUUUAUUUUAAAUCCUUGAGGCUGUUGGAGGUUUCUCUGACCUGAGAGAAGCUCAGCUAUUAGAAGAGAGCUUUGUUAAGCCACAGUCACAAAGCAAAGCAAACCAAAGUCUUAGCUGCCCUCUUGCUGAGAAAUGAAGCAUAAGGUGGUCUUUGGUAUUGGGGGGGCUCAGAUACAUCCUUGAAGAAUGAGAGCGGAGGGCCAGAUGGGACCAACACUGAGGAGGUGGCAGCACAAAUGCAGGUGGCUGUAGCAGUGGGAGCCGAACUCCUGAGCUGUGCCCAUUGCAAGAAGAAGGAAUGUGAUAGAAAAGAUUCUGUGUCUGCAGGAAGGGAAGGAGGAACCAGUGCAAGUCAGUUCAUGUUUUACUCUGGAUGAUGUUGGGGAUUUCCAGCUGCACCUUCUGGACUGGGAGCAGAGAUGGCCAGGAGAGAGCAAGUGUGUUGCGUGAAUACAAACCCAUCUUGGGGCUAUUAAACUGGCUUUCAAGCCAUGGCUUGCAGAGGAAGCUGCCCUCCCUGUGAGUGUGCAGGGAGCUGAUGUGGCUAUGGUGGAGCUGGUGUGCUGGUCGGUGUGGGAGGGUGCUGUGUGCUGUAGGUGGAACUCUGUGGCCUGGAGCCAGGAGUGAGGCUGUACCACUCACAGCAAUCAGCUCAUGCUCAGGAAAUGCUAUCUGAGCAGUAGCACAAACCAUCCCGUAAAGGAAGGGUGCUGGGGAGAGCUUAGCUUCAUUCCCAGCCUCCUAGGGAGGGAUUUGGCAGCUCCAGCCCAACAGAUGCUUCUGUCUGGUGUUGCUGCAGAGAAGUGGGAUGGGGGUGUCCAAAACACCCUAAUGCUUCGGAGACAGGAGGAUCCCUCUUUGAGUAGUGUGCUUACUGCAGACGAGGCCAAAUGUGUGUGCUGGAAACUGUAGGCACAGGAAAAACACAGCUUUGUCGUGUGAUUUGGGCAGGUGCUUACCUCUGUGCAAGCACCAAAAAAUGGCUUGUGGUAAUUUCACCUUUUAAAACCCGGUAGUUGGAAAGGUACCAGGCAGAGAGAGCUUGAUGUGGUGCUGAGCCAGCCUGAGACACCCCAUGCAACACCGUGCUGACACUCACCUUUUGUUCUUCACAUCCCUCUCAUUUGGCUGUUGCCGCAAGGAACUCUUCUUCUGCCUCAUUUCCCCUGGCCCAGCUUUUCUCCUGCUCAGCAAACUCACCAUGUGCUGAAGGACUCUUGGGGGACUUUGCACCUUUGUAGACACCUUUUUGCUGGAGGAAACAUGAGGUGUCGAUCUCUGUCAGUGCAGCAGGAGCAAAAAGGAAAACAUCUCCUAUGACAGGGUUUGAUUGCCAGCUGAAAGUAAGCAGAGUGCCUGUCAGUGACAUGUGAGCACAAAAAGGCUUUGCAGAUGGAAAUAAAGGCAAUGUUUUUUCCUCCUCCCCUGCUUUGCCUCCCCUGCAGUGCCAGCGAGGCAUUGCAGAGCCAGAGAGCCUGUUGGAUCGGGAUGCACAGUGCUCUUUGGACUCUUCUGUUUACUUAAAAUGGUGUCUAAAAGCGUAAUGGGCACUUUGGAGAUCUCUAAAUAGAGCAGCCUCUGUCCUGAAGAGCUGACAACGUCAGGAGACAAGUGCCAGGGGUGGGAGAGUGGCUGCAUCACACACACCAGCCGAGGAAGUGGCAUGUGGCCCACCUGCUCAGUAUUUUUCCAUCACAUUUCCAUUCAGCUGUUCCUUUCCAGCUUCCAGCUCCGCCACUCUCCUCAGCAGCUUCUGCUCUGGGUUUAUUUAGCACGCUAUUUAUUUCCUAAUUAUAGAACUUAACUGACUAACCUCAGCCCUCCUGGGUUACUGCACUCCACCUUUUCGUCCCCUGUAGAACAGAGGCUCUGCUCUCUUCUGAUGGCUGAAGGUAGUUGCUAGUGACUUUAUAUCUCUCUUCUUUUGUUGUUUUUCUACCAAACCCAACAGGGCUCUGGCUGCUGACACAGGGACCUUCAGUGAUCAUUUCAGAGGAGAUUGGCUACUGCAUUCCCAAAUUCUUUAAACCAGAAAUGCCACUGAGCUGAGCACUUUACCAGGCUGUGCUCUGCUGCUUCUCUCCACGAAUUCCUAACAGCCAGCUCACUCCUUUUACCCUGCAUGCAGACACAUCUGGCUGGAGGAUUUGAAGAGGGUUUGAAAACCAUUCCCCAGCAUCAGCAAUGCUUCUGGAAGCAUCGUGGCACUUUCAGCACUGCCUGGCUCCACAAGCAGACUCUGUGCUCUAGGGGGAGGGUCUGUCUCUGUCUCCCUGAGAUGAAGCUCUGCCACAACACUCCUGCAUUUUCCAGGGAGUCAGGUGAAAUUCCUACCUCCUGCACCAAAAGCUGCCAGGCUGAGCAGACCUGUCGCCUGCAGCCAUCUCCAAUGCCAUCUCUUGUUUGCUCACAGCCAUUUCUGCCCCUUUAUCACACAUUGUGGUAAAUCAAGACACAUCUGCAGGGGCCAAGCAGUGCUUUGGUGUGACACUUGUCCCUAGAGCCUUCUGCGCAAGCAGGGGGGUUACAUGCCGGGGAGGCUGCAUGACAGCAGCAGGUAUCUGGCAGCAAGAGCAGGGAGAGGAGGUGUCUCUGGUAGAAAGCAGGAUGGAUUGGAACAAUGACUGUAGUAAAGCCAGAAGGAUGUAUGAGCUGCUUCUGGAGUGUUUCCAAGAUGUCAUACUGAAUAAAGGAAACUAUUUGUCUUCUGUUUAA
Molecule: long non-coding RNA, 3395 nt
Organism: Pezoporus occidentalis (night parrot)
Lineage: Eukaryota; Metazoa; Chordata; Aves; Psittaciformes; Psittacidae
Exons: 2
Source: RefSeq, a predicted model, not a curated record